CCUACGGGCUGCAGCAGUGAGGAAUAUUGGUCAAUGGGCGGGAGCCUGAACCAGCCAAGCCGCGUGAGGGAAGAAGGUACAGCGUAUCGUAAACCUCUUUUGUCAGGGAACAAAAGCGGAGACUAGUCCCCGGAUGAGGGUACCUGAAGAAAAAGCAUCGGAUAACGCGGAGCCAGCAGCCGCGGUAAUACGGAGGAUGCGAGCGUUGUCCGGAUGGCGUGGGUUGAACGGGGGCGCAGGGGGCCUGUUAAGUCAGCGGUGAAAGCCCGGGGCACACACCCGGCGAGCUGUUGAAGCUGGCGGGGUGGAGUGGGAGAGGAGGACGCGGGAUGCGUGGUGUAGCGGUGGAAUGCGGAGAUAUCGCGCAGAACCCCGAUGGCGAAGGCAGCGUACCGGCGCCACACUGACGCUGAGGCACGAAAGCGUGGGUAUCGAACAGGAUUAGAUACCCCAGUAGUC
RNAcentral lists this ribosomal RNA (459 nucleotides) under uncultured bacterium. Its description in RNAcentral is "partial 16S ribosomal RNA". It matches the Rfam family "Bacterial small subunit ribosomal RNA", at positions 338 to 795 of the family's 1533-position model. The record is from RNAcentral.